UUCUGACCGUAAACGAUGCCAACUAGCGAUCCGCCGGCGGAUUUCAAAACGCCCUGGUGGGGAGCUUCCCGGAAACGAAAGUCUUCCGGUUCCGGGGGAAGUAUGGUUGCAAAGCUGAAACUUAAAGGAAUUGACGGAAGGGCACCACCAGGAGUGGAGCCUGCGGCUUAAUUUGACUCAACACGGGAAAACUCACCCGGCCCGGACACCGCGACGAUUGACAGAUUGAUAGCUCUUUCAUGAUUCGGUGGAUGGUGGUGCAUGGCCGUUCUUAGUUCGUGGAGCGAUUUGUCUGGUUUAUUCCGAUAACGAGCGAGACUCUAGCCUACUAAAUAGUCCGCACAUUUUUUAAACCAAUGUGUGCCUUCACGGACUUCUUAGAGGGAUUUUCGGCGUUCAAAGCCGCACGAAACUGAGCAAUAACAGGUCUGUGAUGCCCUUAGAUGUCCGGGGCUGCACGCGCGCUACACUGGCGAAAUCAGCGUGCUUGUCCUUUCGCGAAAGCGAUUGGUAAACCGGUGAAAAUUCGCCGUGAUUGGGAUCGGAAAUUGCAAUUAUUUUCCGUGAACGAGGAAUUCCAAGUAAGUGCGAGUCAUCAACUCGCGUUG
This 608-nucleotide ribosomal RNA is filed under the name unidentified nematode. RNAcentral's name for it is "SSU rRNA". It matches the Rfam family "Eukaryotic small subunit ribosomal RNA", at positions 1024 to 1643 of the family's 1831-position model. The record is from RNAcentral. Lineage: Eukaryota; Metazoa; Nematoda.